Long non-coding RNA from Rosa chinensis, 427 nucleotides. RefSeq lists it as uncharacterized. Lineage: Eukaryota; Viridiplantae; Streptophyta; Magnoliopsida; Rosales; Rosaceae. The transcript has 4 exons. The record is from RefSeq and is a predicted model, not a curated record.
AAAUUGUGAUUGAGAUUUUGUGUGGUGAUUGAUGUUGAAGCAGGAAGAGGGGAGCAAGACUUAGCACUUACAGGCGCAGAGGUGCCGGGCAAGGCUGGACCAUUUAGAAUGAGCAGAUGUGGAGAAUUUGUCAGAAUGGAACAAUGUGAGGUUGAACCGGAUCCUUGUGGACUAUAUGUUGAGGAUGUCUUAUUAUGAUACUGCGGUGAAGAUGGCCGAAAGCCAAAAUAUUCAGGAACCGCAGUUUGGAGCCACUACCUCAAAAGUUUUAUGAGUCAUAUUUGAAGAGAUUUUCCCCCUAUUGUUGUUCAUGUGACCGGUGCCUUAGUUUACAGUUCAACUCUCACUGAAAGAGUGUUUAUUCUAGUUGAAGGGUAAUAUAGGUACCAAUUCACUUCUCAUUUGUUUUGAAGGGUUGCACUUGCAG